This 492-nucleotide ribosomal RNA is filed under the name uncultured bacterium. RNAcentral describes it as "partial 16S ribosomal RNA". It matches the Rfam family "Bacterial small subunit ribosomal RNA", at positions 29 to 507 of the family's 1533-position model. The record is from RNAcentral.
AGUGAACGCUGGCGGUAGGCCUAACACAUGCUAGUCGAACGGCAGCACAGUAAGAGCUUGCCUUUAUGGGUGGCGAGUGGCGGACGGGUCAGGUACACAUCGGCAUCUCCUUUUUCGAGGGGGACAACGUAGGGUAAUUUACGCCAACACCGCAUCCGACCUACGGGUGAAAGUAGGUGAUCUUCUCACCUCGCGCGAUUGAAUGAGCCGUUGUCGCAUUAGUUAGUCGGCGGUGUACAGGCCCACCAAGUCGACUAUCCGUAGCUGGUCUGAGAGGAUGAUCACCCCCCCUAGAAGUGAGACACGGUCCAGACUCCUACGGGAGCCAGCAGUCGCGAAUAUUCGACAAUGUGCAGAAGCCUGAUCCAGCCAUACCGCGUGAGUCAAGAGGGCCUUCGGGUUGUAGAGCCCUUUUGUUGGGAAAGAAAAGCAGCAGGUUAAUACACCGCUGUUCUGGCGUUACUCAACAAAUAAGCACCGGCUAACUUCGUG